GACGAACGCUGGCGGCGUGCCUAAUACAUGCAAGUCGAACGCUGAAGGAGGAGCUUGCUUCUCUGGAUGAGUUGCGAACGGGUGAGUAACGCGUAGGUAACCUGCCUGGUAGCGGGGGAUAACUAUUGGAAACGAUAGCUAAUACCGCAUAAGAGUAGAUGUUGUAUGAAAUUUUGUUAAAAGGUGUAAUUGGAUGAAUAGAAGAGGGAGUUGCGUUGUAUUAGCUAGUUGGGGAGGUCAUUGCUCAACAAGGCGACGACACAUAGCCGACCUGCGAGGGUGAUCGGCCACACUGGGACUGAGACACGGCCCAGACUCCUACGGGAGGCAGCAGGAGGUAAUCUUCCUCAAUUUACCUAAUUCUCACCAACCAACCCCCCUGGAAUGAAUAAGGGUUUCGGAUCGUAAAGCUCUGUUGUAAGAGAAGAACAAUUGUUAUCAUUCAAACUUCCCACUGUAACUUUCUCUUACCAGAAACAGACGGCUAACUACAUG
RNAcentral lists this ribosomal RNA (495 nucleotides) under uncultured bacterium. RNAcentral's name for it is "partial 16S ribosomal RNA". It matches the Rfam family "Bacterial small subunit ribosomal RNA", at positions 28 to 507 of the family's 1533-position model. The record is from RNAcentral.